Molecule: ribosomal RNA, 253 nt
Filed under: uncultured bacterium
Lineage: Bacteria
Description: partial 16S ribosomal RNA
Rfam family: Bacterial small subunit ribosomal RNA
Source: RNAcentral
GACGUAGGGCGCGAGCGUUGUCCGGAUUUAUUGGGCGUAAGGCGCGUGUAGGCGGCCCGGUAAGUCCGCUGUGAAAGUCCAGGGCUCAACCCUGGGAUGCCGGUGGAUACUGUCGGGCUCGAGUCCGGAAGAGGCGAGUGGAAUUCCUGGUGUAGCGGUGAAAUGCGCAGAUAUCAGGAGGAACACCAAUGGCGAAGGCAGCUCGCUGGGACGUGACUGACGCUGAGACGCGAAAGCGUGGGGAGCAAACAGG